This 303-nucleotide ribosomal RNA is filed under the name uncultured bacterium. RNAcentral describes it as "partial 16S ribosomal RNA". It matches the Rfam family "Bacterial small subunit ribosomal RNA", at positions 507 to 807 of the family's 1533-position model. The record is from RNAcentral.
AGCAGUCGCCGCGGUAAUACAGAGGGUGCGAGCGUUAAUCGGAUUUACUGGGCGUAAAGCGUGCGUAGGCGGCUUCUUAAGUCGGAUGUGAAAUCCCUGAGCUCAACUUAGGAAUUGCAUUCGAUACUGGGAAGCUAGAGUAUGGGAGAGGAUGGUAGAAUUCCAGGUGUAGCGGUGAAAUGCGUAGAGAUCUGGAGGAAUACCGAUGGCGAAGGCAGCCAUCUGGCCUAAUACUGACGCUGAGGUACGAAAGCAUGGGGAGCAAACAGGAUUAGAUACCCCCGUAGUCCCUGUCUCUUAUAC